AACAGAACCUGUAGAUGUUUUGAAGCGGAGAUUUCAACAAGUGACCUGCCUGCUUGGUCAUACCAGGUUCUGUGGGGAGGAAAAAAAAUGUCCUUAGUCCGGAUGAAUAACAAAACACCAACCAGGAGAUUGAAGUUAGUAAAGCUGACUCACUUCCUGGUUUCCAGAUGAAAGGAGUUGUCCAAGAAAUGACUCUCACAAGGAAAUACUUCCCUCAAUUGACUAGCUGUGUCUUUUUUAAGCUUGAUUGACUAUCACGGUGGCCUGUCAGUAGUUUGGUAUGUUGAAAAGUAAAACUUAAUUAUUAAAUAAUUCUAUGUAUUAAGAGGUAGCUCCCUCAAUUUGUGAGAACUGCUGACUUCAGAGAGCCCUCAGAAGAAAUGGCUGUGUUGUAUAAGCAUGUGUCCUGAUGACUGAAAAAUCCCCCAGUUAGUGAGGUAUGGCAGCAAUGUCACAUGGAGGAUGAAUGUAGACCAAGAAGGCUGUGCUGGAGGAAGCUCAGAAGGGUCGAGCUGGAGGUGCACUCACCGUUGGUAUCCGGAGAGGGUAGAAGCACACAAGGCUGUGGACUUUUCAGCUAUGUUGUGUUAACAGACUGACUCAGCAGGAGGUGCCUACAUGGGAAAGAGACAGUCUAUCUUCACUGCAGCCCCCACAAGGACAUUAUGGGAAAUCAGGAAAAUUCUGCCUCCCUGACUUGCUGUGACUUGCUGUAUUCCCCUGGGUACUGAUCAGGCUACAUUCCUCAAGGCUAGUUGGGAACAUAUUUAUUUAAAAAAAAAUACAGGAAGACAAACAUGUUGAGAGAAAAAUAUCUAAUCAGUUCCUCUGAUAAUUAUCAAAAGUCACAGCUAGUUUCCUUCUGAACUCAAUGUCUGUUGUUAUUGUUUGUUUUGUUUUGUUCUUUUGAAACAGGGUCUCACUCUGUAGAUCUGGCUGCCCUAGAACGCCCCACACUGACCAAGGCUGAAACUCACAGAGAUCUGUCUGCCUCUGCCCUCCUCUACAGCUCUGAGAUUCAAGUCAUAUCGCCAUACUGAGCCUAAACUCCAUUCCAAUAGCACUUUCUAAAAGUGGGACUAGAACUAUAAAUAAGAAUUCCCACUUUCAUUCAUUUCUAAUGCACUCAUUACUCUUCCUUAACUCUCUCCCUGCUUGGUAUGUCUGCUUCUGAAUUCUCCUAUAAUUCUAAUAGUUGUAUGAUUCUUGUUAUUGAGAAACCACAAAUUGUAAAGCAUAUUAGACAGGGCACAUUCAAAAAUAACCGUCCUUCCUGCUGUUUGGCUAAAGCCACUUGCUUGUUUGGGGUUGCUAAUGGGAAUAAGUGAGUAUGUGUGAUUACCUCUAGAGCCAGCUUGUUUGCUCAGAGGGAAAAUUCAUGGACCGGCCACAGGCUACAUUCCAGAACAUUAGCCAACCACUCUGCAGACUUCUGCAGCUGGGUCCUAGAACUGUCUGCUAACAAGACUGGAAAGGCUAUGAGCCUGUAAGGCAGGGGUCCUUUUACCGGAGGUCAAUCCAAGCGCUAAUUAACUAGUCUUGUUUUCUUUA
Peromyscus maniculatus bairdii (prairie deer mouse) is the source of this 1551-nucleotide long non-coding RNA. RefSeq lists it as uncharacterized. The record is from RefSeq and is a predicted model, not a curated record. Lineage: Eukaryota; Metazoa; Chordata; Mammalia; Rodentia; Cricetidae.